RNAcentral lists this ribosomal RNA (492 nucleotides) under uncultured bacterium. RNAcentral describes it as "partial 16S ribosomal RNA". It matches the Rfam family "Bacterial small subunit ribosomal RNA", at positions 29 to 507 of the family's 1533-position model. The record is from RNAcentral.
AGUGAACGCUGGCGGUAGACCUAACACAUGCAAGUCGAACGGCAGCACAGUAAGAGCUUGCUCUUACGGGUGGCGAGUGGCGGACGGGUGAGGAAUACAUCGGAAUCUACUUUUUCGUGGGGGAUAACGUAGGGACACUUACGCUAAUACCGCAUACGACCUACGGGUGAAAGCAGGGGAUCUUCGUACCUUGCGCGAUUGAAUGAGCCGAUGUCGGAUUAGCUAGUUGGCGGGGUAAAGGCCCACCAAGGCGACGAUCCGUAGCUGGUCUGAGAGGAUGAUCAGCCACACUGGAACUGAGACACGGUCCAGACUCCUACGGGAGGCAGCAGUGGGGAAUAUUGGACAAUGGGCGCAAGCCUGAUCCAGCCAUACCGCGUGAGUGAAGAAGGCCUUCGGGUUGUAAAGCCCUUUUGUUGGGAAAGAAAAGCAGCAGGUUAAUACCCCGCUGUUCUGACGGUACCCAAAGAAGAAGCACCGGCUAACUUCGUG